Molecule: ribosomal RNA, 216 nt
Filed under: Campylobacter jejuni
Lineage: Bacteria; Pseudomonadati; Campylobacterota; Epsilonproteobacteria; Campylobacterales; Campylobacteraceae
Description: partial 16S ribosomal RNA
Rfam family: Bacterial small subunit ribosomal RNA
Source: RNAcentral
AGCAUGAAGCCGGAAUCGCUAGUAAUCGUAGAUCAGCCAUGCUACGGUGAAUACGUUCCCGGGUCUUGUACUCACCGCCCGUCACACCAUGGGAGUUGAUUUCACUCGAAGCCGGAAUACUAAACUAGUUACCGUCCACAGUGGAAUCAGCGACUGGGGUGAAGUCGUAACAAGGUAACCGUAGGAGAACCUGCGGUUGGAUCACCUCCUUUCUAG